UCAUAUGUUGGUUUAGGUGAACGAUGAGUUUUUAAUAAAAUAUCAUUAUAUUUCUCAUAUGAAUGAAAGUUAGUACAUUUUUUUUUUAAUUAUACAUAAUUUAUUUAUAUUUUCAAAAAAAUUAUAUGCAUUUAUAAAAAAACUAAAAUAUUUAUUUAUUAUUUUAUAUUAUAUAUGUAAAAAAAAGUAAAAUAAAAGUUAUGUAUGUUUUUAAUUAUAUGCACUAUGUACGCAAUGAAAGCGCGUCCAAAAAAUAUCCACAUCCGAUACGAAUCCGAUACGCAAAAGAUAGAAAAUAUAUUCAAAUUGACUUAUUAGGAUACACGAAAUAUGAUUAUACAUAUGAAAAUAAAUAAAAUAUUUUUAUAUAAUUAUUUUUCAUCAUA
This 386-nucleotide long non-coding RNA is filed under the name Ananas comosus (pineapple). RNAcentral describes it as "long non-coding RNA (ACOM_LNC015536)". Lineage: Eukaryota; Viridiplantae; Streptophyta; Magnoliopsida; Poales; Bromeliaceae. The record is from RNAcentral.